Molecule: long non-coding RNA, 272 nt
Filed under: Mytilus galloprovincialis (Mediterranean mussel)
Lineage: Eukaryota; Metazoa; Mollusca; Bivalvia; Mytilida; Mytilidae
Source: RNAcentral
GAAAUCACAAAAUAUCACUGACAUGAAUGGUCAGAAAUCAAAAAAUAUCACUGACAUGAAUGGUCAGAAAUCAAAAAAUAUCACUGACAUGAUUGGUCAGAUAUUUCUAACAAAUACAUAUAAUAAUACCGACAUGAAUGGUCAGAUAUCAAACAAUACCACUGACAUGAAUGGUCAGAUCUUUCUGACAAGAUUGGCCAGAAAACAAAAUGUUCCCUUAAGGAUAUAUACAAUCACCCACUACUGUAAGCACAAUUAGACAAAAAAGGCAC